Molecule: ribosomal RNA, 274 nt
Filed under: uncultured bacterium
Lineage: Bacteria
Description: partial 16S ribosomal RNA
Rfam family: Bacterial small subunit ribosomal RNA
Source: RNAcentral
AUACGGAGGGUGCAAGCGUUACUCGGAAUCACUGGGCGUAAAGCGCGCGCAUGCGGUCUUUUAAGUUGGAUGUGAAAGCCUACGGCUCAACCGUAGAACUGCAUCCAAAACUAUUAGACUAGAGUGUGGGAGAGGAGGAUGGAAUUAGUUGUGUAGGGGUAAAAUCCGUAGAGAUAACUAGGAAUACCAAAAGCGAAGGCAAUCUUCUGGAACACUACUGACGCUGAGGCGCGAAAGCGUGGGGAGCAAACAGGAUUAGAAACCCCGGUAGUCC